Microcebus murinus (gray mouse lemur) is the source of this 400-nucleotide non-coding RNA. The record is from RefSeq and is a predicted model, not a curated record. Lineage: Eukaryota; Metazoa; Chordata; Mammalia; Primates; Cheirogaleidae.
AGCCCCGCCCGUCGGGCUUGCUGCCCUAUGUAGUCACCGAGGUCGAGCGUGCGCAGAGGGUGUGGCCGCAGUGUCUUCGGGGAGUUGUAGUCCUAGAGUUGUAGUCUCUUUUGACUUUGCUUAGGCUCUAGGACCUGAUGAUUCCCCCACAUGAAGGACUUAGAUUAACUUAAUGAGAAUUACAGAAAACUUGAAGAGACAGAUGUAACAACUGACCUAUGGGUGCUAAAAUAACACGUGGAGAUCGAAUUUCUGAUGCCGUCAGGGCUCUAGGCUUCAAGGUUUGCUUGAGAAAUCAAGGAGGACCUGAGUUGUUUUUUAAAAUAUCCUUCUGGUGUACUACCAGGACAGAGUGGAAGAGUAAAAGACAAAUAAAGGAAGACUGGCUGACUAAACUGAA